GCCAGUGUGGUGUAGUGGUUUGAGCAUUGGACUGUGACUCUGGAGACCAGGAUUCAAAUCCCUGCUUGGCA
RNAcentral lists this transfer RNA (71 nucleotides) under Phrynosoma platyrhinos (Desert horned lizard). Its description in RNAcentral is "tRNA-OTHER". It matches the Rfam family "tRNA". Rfam says of the family: Transfer RNA (tRNA) molecules are approximately 80 nucleotides in length. Their secondary structure includes four short double-helical elements and three loops (D, anti-codon, and T loops). The record is from RNAcentral. Lineage: Eukaryota; Metazoa; Chordata; Lepidosauria; Squamata; Phrynosomatidae.